AAAGAAUUAGUUUAACUAAACACAUUAAAUUGUCAAUUUAAAAAUAUUUUACAAAAAAUAUUCUUUA
This 67-nucleotide transfer RNA is filed under the name Acropyga acutiventris. RNAcentral describes it as "tRNA-Asp". The record is from RNAcentral. Lineage: Eukaryota; Metazoa; Arthropoda; Insecta; Hymenoptera; Formicidae.